AUGUUUCCUGUCUCUUGGCACCCCUACCUCCCUGUUCUCUUCUUCCUCUGUCUUGCCGACCACCUCCACACCUCUGGUGUUAUCGCUGGUACAAAUGAGCUGGUCUAUAAUGGCUUUUCAGCUGAUCUGAAGCUUGACGGCAAAGCUUUGUGGAUAGAUGACCUGUUGAGUGUAACCAAUGGCCCAGGUGGUACAAGCGGCCAUGCUUUCUGCAGAUAUCCCCUAAGCUUUCAAGAUAAUCCCGGUGGUGCUAUCUCCUCCUUCUCAACUACGUUUGUGUUCGUCAUGGGCUUCAAGCAGUAUAAAGGUAAUGGGAUGGCCUUCAUACUUUCAUCCACCAGUGACUUACCAGAUGAUUCGCCAGGCGAGUACCUUGGCCUCCCGCAUUCUAACUUAGAUGGCCAUGCUUUCUUCGCCGUCGAGUUCGACACCGUCUUGAAUCCUGAGAUCGGGGACAUCGAUGACAACCAUGUUGGGAUUGAUGUCAACAGCUUGGCCUCAGUUGAAUCCCAAACUGCUGGCUUCUAUAACUUCUACGGUGAGUUCCAAACUGUUGUACUCAGAAGCAGUGAACGAAUUCAGGCGUGGGUGGACUAUGAUAGCAAAUCAUACCAACUGAAUGUUACCUUAGCACCUUGUCAUUCCUUUAUUAAACCCCAACUUCCGUUGCUGUCGACCACUGUCAAUUUAUCCUCUUUGUUGUCACUGGGUCCAGUUUACGCUGGGUUCUCUGCAUCCAGCAGAAAAGUCUCCUCCAGCCAUUAUGUUCUAGGCUGGAGUCUGAAGCUAGAUGGGGUGGCUGGACCACUUGACUACUCUGUUCUCCCUUUUGUCACUGAAGAUGAACUUCAACAUCGGGCCAAAUUCCAACUUCCCAGCCAUAUGAACAUUUUAGGAGCGCCAUCAAUUGUGCCAGCAGUCAUAUUAAUAGUUCUUGCUAUUCUGAUCUGUCGGCGCCUGAGAAAGGCAAAGGAAGAUGAUGAGUGGGAGAUCAAGUCUGGGAUGAUGUCUUUCACGUACAAGGAACUAGUGACCGCCACCGAAGGCUUCAGCAAUUGCACCCUCCUCGGGAAAGGGGGCUUUGGAAGGGUGUACAAAGGGGUGCUCCCUACCACCACACAGCAUGUGGCCAUCAAGCGGGUGUCGCCGGAAUCAAAGCAGGGGAAGAAGGAGUUCAUGGCGGAGAUCGCCAUCCUUGGCCAUGUCCGCCACCGAAACCUUGUCCAACUGCUAGGCUAUUGCCGGUACAAGCAGGAGCUGCUCUUGGUCUAUGACUACAUGCCCAAUGGCAGCCUUGAUAGGUACUUGUAUGACAAGACUACGCCGACCCUGGAUUGGGCUCAGAGGCUUCGCAUCAUCAAAGGCGUAGCUUCCGGCCUCUACUACCUGCACGAGGAUUGGGAGCAAGUCAUCAUCCAUCGGGACAUCAAGGCGAGCAACGUUCUCCUCGACGACGACAUGAAUGGGAGGCUUGGUGACUUUGGCCUCGCAAGGUUGCAUGACCAUGGAGUCGAUGCCCACACCACACAUGUAGCAGGCACCUGGGGAUACAUUGCCCCUGAGCUGGCCCGGCUUGGCAAGGCGACCAAGGCGACCGACGUUUUUCAUUUGGAGUGUUUACCAUAG
Molecule: ribosomal RNA, 1626 nt
Filed under: Triticum aestivum (bread wheat)
Lineage: Eukaryota; Viridiplantae; Streptophyta; Magnoliopsida; Poales; Poaceae
Description: partial small subunit ribosomal RNA
Source: RNAcentral